RNAcentral lists this ribosomal RNA (428 nucleotides) under uncultured bacterium. Its description in RNAcentral is "bacterial SSU rRNA". It matches the Rfam family "Bacterial small subunit ribosomal RNA", at positions 355 to 776 of the family's 1533-position model. The record is from RNAcentral.
UGGGGAAUCUUGCGCAAUGGGCGAAAGCCUGACGCAGCAACGCCGCGUGGAGGAAGAAGGCCUUCGGGUUGUAAACUCCUGUCAGGGGGGAAGAAGGCACCUGGGUUAAUAGCCCAAGGGCUGACGGUACCCCCAGAGGAAGCCACGGCUAACUACGUGCCAGCAGCCGCGGUAAUACGUAGGUGGCGAGCGUUGUCCGGAAUUAUUGGGCGUAAAGCGCGCGUAGGCGGCUUGUCAGGUCCGACGUGAAAUCCCGGGGCUCAACCCCGGACGUGCGUCGGAAACCGGCUUGCUUGAGUCUGGGAGAGGGAAGUGGAAUUCCUGGUGUAGCGGUGAAAUGCGCAGAUAUCAGGAGGAACACCGGUAGCGAAGGCUGCUUCCUGGAACAGUACUGACGCUGAGGCGCGAAAGCUAGGGGAGCGAACAGG